AUGAUACAAUCAAUUGGAUGUUUUUCUACGGUUAUUGAUCUAGCAGAAAAAAUGUUGUUUUCACAUCAUUGUUUUAAUCCAAUGUUCAGCUUUCAUGCUAUAAGCUUUACUGCUUUACUGAUUUUCGUAGGAAAUGUUGAACGUUCGUAUAAAUUGAAUCAAUGUGGCCUUACAUGUAGUGCCGGUACUGUUAAAUUUGUAGAUAUCUUAUUUUAUUCAGCAGUAACUUUAUUUUCUUUUCACUUCUUUUUUAUAAAUGUCAUGGAGUCAGUUAUAAUAGUGAUUUCUUUUCCUUCUGAAAGAAAUUGUUUAUCUGCUUUGGGUUUCAAUUUUAAGGCCAUCUCGGUACAAUCUGCAACUACUUAUAGACUACUUCAUCUGGAUGGGUUUGCAACUUUGUGUACAGUUUGCUUCAAUACCUCUGGUACCAUUCUACUGUCUGCUGCUAUUUUUCCAUUUGUUCAGUUGCUACCUCUACCCGCCAAGUUGAUUUUCUGCAGAUAG
Molecule: ribosomal RNA, 504 nt
Filed under: Triticum aestivum (bread wheat)
Lineage: Eukaryota; Viridiplantae; Streptophyta; Magnoliopsida; Poales; Poaceae
Description: partial small subunit ribosomal RNA
Source: RNAcentral